Oncorhynchus nerka (sockeye salmon) is the source of this 3041-nucleotide long non-coding RNA. RefSeq lists it as uncharacterized. Lineage: Eukaryota; Metazoa; Chordata; Actinopteri; Salmoniformes; Salmonidae. The record is from RefSeq and is a predicted model, not a curated record. The transcript is spliced from 5 exons.
GCGCAAAGGCAGCCCUCAAAAUUCAGUUCAGUGUUAUGACUAGUUGCCGAAGUUUUAACGAACAUGAAAGAGGUUUUGUAGCGUGAAAUCCUGUGGAGGUGGUUGGGCAACACUGGGCUGUGACUGGCGCAGAGAUGGCUGGAAACGUAGUGGGGUUAGAGGUUGAGGUUGACGAGAUGGAGUAUAGUGGUGGAGUCGUGAGAGUAAAGGUUAAGAAGAGGACGCCUGAGGAGCCGUUGUAGUUCUUGUCCGGGAGAGUAGUGAUGAGGGAUGUUCGGUUCGCAGUGUUGUACUGAGAUAAGUGGAGUUCAUGGUGUUGGUGAAAUGUAAGGACGAGGAUGGGGUCACAUCGGUGAGUCCGAUAACGAUGAUUAGGGAUUUGGAGAGAAAAGUAGGAGAGGUUGAGCCUGCUAAAGUUGUUUGUGAUGGAAGUUUGGUGGGUCGUAUCAAUACUAAACAGUAUGAGAAGGAGCUCAAACUCAAGCAGAGAAUAGUUCAAAAUGAGAAGAUCCUGCCAUGGAAAAGACGACUGGGCGGACAUAAAGUGUAAAGGAGGGGAAAUAACUCCCACCAUGCAGCAGGACACCUUCAGCUGUGGGGUCUUUGUAAUGCAGAUGGCCAAGGAAGUUGCACAGAACUUCUCCAACAUCCCCUCCCAAACUGAUAUGGAACCUUCAAAAACACAUGGAGAAACUGCGAAAAGAAAUGGCUGAGGAUAUACUAAAAAUGUCUGAGUUCAACAAAGCCAACAACUGCUUCAUGUGUGCCACUGAUGAAGAACCUGGAUGUGGCCCAAAGACUGACUGGAAGAAAACCCUUACACCUGCACUCCAGGGUGAAGUUUCCCGAAGGUACAGAUCUACGAUCAGCCCCCCCACAAACUCUAACCUUAACUAUUAUUUGGGGAAAUACAAAGCUGACCCUAGAUCAGCGUGUAGGGGCAACUUCAUUCGACUCCAUGAGGCACAGGAUGAAUCUACUAUCUGAGAGCCAAGGCUUUCACUUCAUCAAGGGGCAGGUGGGAACUGCAAAGCAGAAAUAUCCUCGACUGAACACAUCAUUAGUGAAAUGCUCUGUACAUGAUUAGUUAUUAACUUCAUUAUGCCCUCUGUUAAUAGCUGCUGUUCAAUGAACUCUCGGGUUCGACAUCUCUGACGACUCUGCAUUCAUAAAUCAUAUUAAUGAUCUUUAGUUCCGCUAGUCAAAAUUGAUUAAAUCGUUUUUUUCUCAUCAAUUUACACACAAUACCCUAUAAUGACAAAGCAAAAACAGGUUUUUAGACAUUUUUGUAAAUGUAUAAACAAAAAAUAUAUGGAAAUGUCACAUUUACAUAAGUAUUCAGAACCUUUAUUCAGUACUUUGUUGAAGCACCUUUUGCAGCAAUUACAGCUCCGAGUCUUCUUGGGUACGACGCUACAAGCUUGGCACACCUGUAUUUGGGGAGUUUCUCCCAUUCUUCUCUGCAGAUCCUCUCAAGCUCCGUCAGUUUGGAUGGGCAGCGUGGCUGACAGCUAUUUUCAUUUAUCUCGAGAGAUGUUCUAUCGGGUUCAAGUCCGGGCUCUGGCUGGGCCACUCAAGGACAUUCACAGACUUGUCCCAAAGCCACUCCUGUGUUGUCUUGGCUGUGUGCUUAGGGUCAGUGUCCUGUUGGAAGGUGAACCUUCGCCCCAGUCUGAGGUCCUGAGCACUCUGGAGCAGGUUUUCAUCAAGGAUCUCUUUGUAUUUUGCUCCAUUCAUCUUUCUCUCGACCCUGACUAGUCUCCCAGUCCCUGCCACUAAAAACCAUCCCCACAGCAUGAUGCUGCCAACACCAUGCUUCGCCGUAGGGAUUGGGCCAGGUUUCCUCCAGACGUGACGCUUGGCAUUCAGGCCAAAGAGUUCAAUCUUUGUUUCAUCAGAUCAGAGAAUCUUGUUUCUCAUGGCCUGAGACAUUUUUAUGCCUUUUGGCAAACUCCAAGCAGGCUGUCUUGUGCCUUUUACUGAGGAGUGGCUUCCGUCUGGCCAGUCUACAAUAAAGGCCUGAUUGGGGGAGUGCUGCAAAGAUGGUUGUCCUUCUGGAUGGUUCUCCCAUCUGUCAGAGUGACCAUCGGGUUCUUGGUCACAUCCCUGACCAAGGCCCUUCUCCCCUGAUUGCUCAGUUUGGCUGGGCGGCCAGCUCUAGGAAGAGUCUUGGUGGUUCCAAACCUCUUCCAUGUAAGAAUGGGGGAGGUCACUGUUCUUGGGGACCUUAAAAUGCUGCAGGCAUUUUUUGGUACCCUUCCCCAGAUCUGUGCCCUGACACAAUCCUGUCUCGGACCUCUAUAGACAAUUCCUUCGACCACAUGGCUUGGUUUUUGCUCUCACAUGCACCGUCAACUGUGGGACCUUACGUAGACAGGUGUGUGCCUUUCCAAAUCAUGUCCAAUCAAUUUAAUUUCCACAUGUGGACUCCAAUCAAGUUGUAGAAACAUUUCAAGGAUGAUCAAUGGAAACAGGAUGCACCUGAGCUCAAUUUCGAGUCUCAUAGCAAAGGGUCUAAAUACUUCCGUAAAUAAUGUAUGUAUGAUGCAUUUCUGUUUCUAAAACCUUUUUUCACUUUGUCAUUAUGGGGUAUUGUGUGUAGAUUUAUGAGGAGAACAAUUUAUUUAAUCCAUUUUAGAGUAAGGCUGCAACGUAACAAAAUGUGGAAAAAGUCCAGGGAUCUAAACACGUUCCGAUUGCACUGUAUAUACUGUAUUCUAAUCAAGGCCUAUCCUAUUGAACUAUUGCUGUACAUAUACUAUUCUAUCCUACGUGUUCUACAGAUAUACUACAUGUUCUAUCCAUAUACUGUCCAUAACGUCUGUACAUCCCAUCAAAUGCAUAUAUAUUUAUACUCUGGACUCUGACAUUGCUCAUCCUAAUAUUUCUAUAUUUCUUAAUUCCAUUAUUUUACUUUUAAGAUUUGUGUGUAUUGUUAGAUAUUACAGCGCUGUUGGAGCUCGGAACAUAAGCAUUUCGUUGUACCUACAAUAACAUCUGCUAAUAUGUGUAUGCUGCCAAUAAAAUUUGAUUUAAUUUGA